UACGAGUUCUUGAAACGACGUUUGGCCCAAGGGCGACAACCGUCAUUUUGAAAAUUCUCCAUCCUUUCAAAUAUCCUGGACUUGAUGUCUUCCGAAUAAAUGAAAAUUUCAUUCAGCAACUGUCCGCCAUAUGUUUACAUGCCGAGAUUGCAAAGGUGGCAAGCUUAGUAACCAUGCCUCGAAAAUGUUAUAUUCGCCGCCUAGUGGCAUGCUAUUGAUCUCAGUUUCAGACAUACACGAAAAGGGUCGUCAAACAUAAUUUGCGGUAUACCACCCACGCAUCGGAACAGGAAGCCUUAGCAAUGACGACCGUGACACCAAGGACGACGCCCUGUACAAAAAUGGAUUAAUAUUUUACCUUCGAAUGUCGCAACUGUGUAGAUCUGUUCAGUUCUACGCCAAAAGGUCUAAAAAAACAUGCUCAGGCUAUGUAUGUAAUGAAAGCGUGUGAUUCCCAAAGAAGGUACGAAAAAUUUUUCAUUGGAGCUCACGUCCUCCACAAUACACAAAACUUGGUCUUUUCAGGGUUUGUUGUUGUUGUUGCUGUUGUUGUUGCUGUUGUUGUUGGUUUGGCAGUUGACGGGGAAGAAAUGUACGCACACGCGAAAGCUUUGUUCUGCUUGUGAAGCGUUUUGUUUGUUGACUGACCCGUUGGUGUUGUCACCGCGGUUUGCCUAAGUUCCCUGUCGGUCAGGUGCCAGCAUUAAGCGAUUACCAAUGACGUGAUUAAUUAAAAAAAAUAUUUGCAAUUUUGUUACACUUUUGGGUCAUAAUCAUCACUUUUUCUGCGAAACUGUGGAUUGCAGAUAUUUUCAAGCACGUAUGGAUGCUCCUAUUUUCGCCUUCUGUCUCUUUCUUUGCUUGUCGAACGGUCUGACAGCCUGGAAGAAGUUGAUGUCGAAGAUGACAUUUUGGACAUGCUGCAGGUAACGGACAAUUUGAAGGAGGUGCCUAAAAAGAACUUUCGCAACCACUCCCUCUUUCUCAAUGCAUUGUAUGACCAGGAGGUUACAAGCUCAAGCGCAGUCUAGUAAUUCUAGACCACACGACGACAUGUCAGCUGGGGGAAAGGAUCGUUCUCCAUUUAUUCAAGGCGAACAACCAGUUGCCGGUGGAGGGUUAAUGUUGCUUUUAGGCUCAAAUGUCAUGAGAUCGUGUUACAUGGGUGUAAUUGGGAUAGUUCUAAUUAUUAUACUGUCUUUAAAUGCAUGUAUGUAACACGGUGAAUGGGAUUGGAAUAAAACUGGGAUACAAACUGCUUGCUCUUUUUGUUUGUAGUAUUACAUUCCCUCUAAGCCAUUUAGGACAGUUCGUCUGGGAAUCUGUUGGAGGCAAGACUUGGUACUCAUCCACAUAACUAGUCUAAAUUUUUAUUAUUACCUGGUACCUGUGGAAGAAUUUCGAGUCUUACAGUUCUCCUUUCCCAGGGCAAGAUCGAGUAAAUGUAUGUUUUCGAUGAACCCAACUGCAAAUAGCUUUGAUAGCGGCCAUUUUUGAAACCAGUUUUACUCUCUGAAGUCUGAACUUUUUCCAGUCUUUGAAUGGCGAAGGACGCUUUCCCGUAAUAUACUCCCAGUAGCGCUUCAUUCCCCCCUGCUGAGAUUGUUAUGCGUCAACUCGAAUCAUUGUAAGUGUUCAAGUUGUAAAUAAAAUUCCAUUCAAGAUAAAGGAUAAUAAAACAGAUUGAGAGGGAAAAACAAAACAAAACAAAACAAAAAAACAAAACAAAAAACAAUACAAAAACAAAAACGUUGUAAUCGACUUGUUGUAAUUUGACAUAUUGGUCCAGCAAGCCCAUUUUGACGAACAGUUCAAGACAGAUUUUGGUCU
This 1830-nucleotide long non-coding RNA is filed under the name Orbicella faveolata. RNAcentral describes it as "uncharacterized LOC110059418". Lineage: Eukaryota; Metazoa; Cnidaria; Anthozoa; Scleractinia; Merulinidae. The record is from RNAcentral.